This 2590-nucleotide long non-coding RNA is filed under the name Pelobates cultripes (western spadefoot toad). Lineage: Eukaryota; Metazoa; Chordata; Amphibia; Anura; Pelobatidae. The record is from RNAcentral.
CAUUUAUUGUGCAGUUUAUGUAUAAAAGAUUAGAAAGUAUAACAUUGCUAUAAAAUAUAAAUAGAGCAUAUAUGUUCUCUAAAUAUUUCUAAAAUCAGUCUGUACAUAAAGCUAUCGAUGAUAAAAAAAAAUAUUGCCCUUCAACAUGUAUCACAGUUCUCUGCAAACAUUUUAUUCUCACGUAGUCCUGCCAAUGACUAGGACACAUGCCGUAACUAGCGGACUGAGUGACAGGCAAGGCACAGCCAGAAAGUGACACUGCAGGAAAAGUAGGAUUUUAGAACAGAAGCAGAACAUGACUGACUGGACAGAACUGUAACAAAGUGUCUCCGGAAGAGAUUGCAGCAUGUCACUAGAACAGUGCUCAAGGAUGCUUCAUGACACUCUUGAUUCUAAGGGACAACUGUCACAUCACAACAUUUAAUAUAAUCCUUUUAUCAAGUUUUGAAUAAAAAUAUACUUCAUAAAAAAAAAUAAACCACCGCUCGUCCCUAACUCUAGAAUAUGACGUGAUCCUUCAGUCAUGUACAUUCACAUUUGCUCAGACAGUCUACAUGAUGUUCCCAGCUUCACUCCUUGCAAAGAAGCCGGGAAAACGAACCAGACUGUCUGUUUUGAGUGGACAGUUGUUCUGUAAAUGGAACACUGGUUUUAUUCACAAAAAUGGAGUUUACAUUUACAAUCAACUUUCAAAAUUCAAGUGAAAAUAGCACAGUCAGGAGAAAAACCUUCAUAACUGAGCUGAAUAUUUUAUCCAACUGCGAUGUAAAACUUAAAGUAUCUAUCUUGAUUGGGAAAGGUACUUUUUAACAUUAACUUUAAAUAUGUUGCUGUAAAAAAGACUCAUAUUUGGGUUUCAUUGUACUCACAUUAAAAAGCAGCGUUGGCUAUAACGGAACUUCUCAUUACAGCCAAUACCCCACCGUGAACACCAGAAAUAUUGAGCACUAUAAUUUUGAUCUUUAUAACCAGUAGAAAGUGUGUUAUCCAUGUAGGGGUUGGAAAACGUGGCUCAGAAUAACUGUAAUGUAAGUCUAUGGCAUCUUGAGUUCAGGUCCAUCCUCUGCUAACGUGGCAUUCUGAGCAGUGCUCUAAUCAAUGCAACCCCACUAAAGUGUCACUCAAAGCUGGAUAUUUUGAACAUAAAUAUUUAUCAUUUCAACAUCCAGCAACAUUAAAGGACCACUACAGGCACCCAGACUACUUCAACUCAAUCUAGGGUUAACCCUGCAGCUGUAAAAAUAGCAGUUUCAGAGAAACUGCUAUGUUUACAAUAAGGUUAAUCCAGCCUCUAGUGGCUGUCUCACCGACAGCCGCUAGAUGCACUUCUCACUGUGAAAAUCAGUGAGAAGACGCCAUCCAUAGGAAAGCAUUGAGAAAUGCUUUCCUAUAGAUUGAUUGAAUGGGGGCUCGGCUCUUGCCGCGAAUGCGGCGGAAGAGGGAGGAGAGUCCUAAGUACCAAGGGAGCCCGGCGCUGGAGAAAGGUAAGUGUUUAACCCCUCUUGAGCCCGGCGGGAGGUGGAGGGUGAGGGGUACCCAAAGCCCCUAUAGUGCCAGGAAAACAAGUUUUUUUUUUUUUUUUCCUAGCACUAUAGUGGUCCUUUUAGUUUUUGUUUUCUCAGGCUCUAGGACCCCUUUUUAAUAUGGCAGUACUUAUUAACCAAUGCAUGUGUUAUCAUAACCACCACUUGUAUAAAACUGAAACAACUCCAUACCAGGGAGAAUGUGACUGCAAAGUAUUAGAAAUAUUUCCUUUAUAUUUUGCUACAAUAAAGAGUUGCAUGAUUUUUAGAAUGUACAAAAGGAUAGAAAAGAGCAGUGACAGGGAAUGUCUUUUUUACACAUUUAAAUCUGAUUGGCCCAAAGGGGAAGGAAGUCUUAAUUUUAGGAUAGGUCUUUAGAAUAAAUUAUUAUAGAGUCACUUGCAUAUGCUUCUACUUCUGGUUAUCCACCAAUUUACUCCAUAUUGUGUGCGCUUCAAUAUUAAAUGAGACUCUUGUAUCUCAUCUGCUCACACACAAUCAGUUAAUAGCAUCUAAAGAUUAUUUUGGUAGAACAACCAGCAAAUGUACAAAUUAGCAGAUAUUUUAAAUUUAUUACGUUUUAGCCUCACUCAUUGUCCUUUGUAAAAUGUUUUGAGAGAAAAGCAUUUAAAGAUAACCACACAGGAGUUUGUGGACUAGGAAUACAAUAAAUGAACAAACAAGGCCUUACAAAACAGCAAACAAAUAUUUCUAGGGAGUUCAUCAGACAUUUUUGUUGUAUGGUGUCCCAGCAUCCAGGGAUAUCUCAAACCAGCCAGCACAGUGCAAGCUAAAUAUAAGAUGCACACACUGUGCACUAGGACAAGGUUUGCACUGGAUGGGGUCAGCCAGGUGCCUGUCAAUCAACCUGACUUGCAUUCAGACCAGGCUGACACGUCCCUUUUGUUUUGGGCAUAACCAGUGAAGUAAAUUACCGUAUUCUUCGCUCCAUAAGACGCACCUAGUUUUUAGAGGAGGAAACCCAGAAAAAAAAAAUAUUCUGAACAAACUGUCCCAUAGUGUUUCUUAACGCCCCCCCCUCCCCUCGUCCCAUAGUGAUCUUUAAC